UUGAACGCUGGCGGCAUGCCUUACACAUGCAAGUCGAACGGCAGCACGGGGGCAACCCUGGUGGCGAGUGGCGAACGGGUGAGUAAUACAUCGGAACGUGCCCUGAAGUGGGGGAUAACGUAGCGAAAGUUACGCUAAUACCGCAUAUUCUGUGAGCAGGAAAGCGGGGGACCUUCGGGCCUCGCGCGAUUGGAGCGGCUGAUGUCGGAUUAGCUAGUUGGUGGGGUAAAGGCCUACCAAGGCGACGAUCCGUAGCUGGUCUGAGAGGAUGAUCAGCCACACUGGGACUGAGACACGGCCCAGACUCCUACGGGAGGCAGCAGUGGGGAAUUUUGGACAAUGGGCGCAAGCCUGAUCCAGCCAUGCCGCGUGAGUGAAGAAGGCCUUCGGGUUGUAAAGCUCUUUCAGACGGAAAGAAAUCGGGCGCGUGAAUAGCGUGCCUGGAUGACGGUACUGUCAGAAGAAGCACCGGCUAACUACGU
This 482-nucleotide ribosomal RNA is filed under the name uncultured bacterium. RNAcentral's name for it is "bacterial SSU rRNA". It matches the Rfam family "Bacterial small subunit ribosomal RNA", at positions 29 to 506 of the family's 1533-position model. The record is from RNAcentral.